AGCGUAGGCGGAUACAUAAGUCAGUGGUGAAAGCCUUCAGCUUAACUGAAGAACUGCCAUUGAAACUGUGUGUCUCGAGUACGGCUGAGGUGACUGGAAUGUAACAUGUAGCGGUGAAAUGCUUAGAUAUGUUACAGAACACCAAUUGCGAAGGCAGGUCACUAAACCGUAACUGACGCUGAGGCUCGAAAGCGUGGGGAGCAAACA
RNAcentral lists this ribosomal RNA (207 nucleotides) under uncultured bacterium. Its description in RNAcentral is "partial 16S ribosomal RNA". It matches the Rfam family "Bacterial small subunit ribosomal RNA", at positions 568 to 774 of the family's 1533-position model. The record is from RNAcentral.